CCUACGGGAGGGCAGCAGUGGGGAAGUAUUGGACAAUGGGCGCAAGCCUGAUCCAGCAAUACCGCGUGUGUGAAGAAGGCCUUCGGGUUGUAAAGCACUUUAAGCAGGGAAGAAAAAACUCAAACUAAUAUUUUGAGUCUUGACGGUACCUGAAGAAUAAGCACCGGCUAACUCUGUGCCAGCAGCCGCGGUAAUACAGAGGGUGCAAGCGUUAAUCGGAUUUACUGGGCGUAAAGCGUGUGUAGGUGGUUGGGAAAGUCAAUUGUGAAAUCCCCGGGCUUAACUCGGGAACUGCUUUUGAUACUGUCUGACUAGAAUUCGGUAGAGGGAGGCGGAACUCCAGGUGUAGCGGUGAAAUGCGUAGAUAUCUGGAAGAACACCAAUGGCGAAGGCAACCUCCUGGGCCUGAAUUGACACUGAGACACGAAAGCGUGGGGAUCAAACAGGAUUAGACUACCCUGGUAGUCCACGCCGUAAACGAUGACAACUUGACGUCGGUUUGCUCUGACGAAUCGGUGUCGUAAGCUAACGCGAUAAGUUGUCCGCCUGGGGAAGUCGGCCCGANAAGGUUAGAAACUCGAAAGAGUAGUACCGGCGNGNGAGACGCGACGACGACGACGACGGAGGAGGAGG
RNAcentral lists this ribosomal RNA (633 nucleotides) under uncultured bacterium. RNAcentral's name for it is "bacterial SSU rRNA". It matches the Rfam family "Bacterial small subunit ribosomal RNA", at positions 338 to 956 of the family's 1533-position model. The record is from RNAcentral.